This is a long non-coding RNA of Manihot esculenta (cassava), 4690 nucleotides long. RefSeq lists it as uncharacterized. The record is from RefSeq and is a predicted model, not a curated record. Lineage: Eukaryota; Viridiplantae; Streptophyta; Magnoliopsida; Malpighiales; Euphorbiaceae. The transcript is spliced from 2 exons.
UCAAAAAAUGGUAACUUUUUAUUUCUCAUAAACAAUAAAAAAAUAUAUAAAAAUUUAAACACCAUUAACCAAACCUGGCUUUUGAAAACUGUACCUGCGCUUAACAGUGUAAAAAAGAAAAAUUGGGCAGCGGGAAACGGAGCGGAGUGGAGAUCUAAAUAAGAAAACCCAACAGUCUUGUGCCUCUGCUGAGCAAUUGCGCCCUCCAAAAUCCACGCCUUCAGAAUUCCUCGCUUCUCUUCGAUAGUUCGGACUUUUGGCAUUUUGGAACUUGGAAGUGUUCUCAUACUCUAAAAGCCUAAAUUUGAUUGUAUUCUGUUUCAGAUAGCUGUUACUCAGUGUUCUCUGAGCCUGAGGUGGUUGAACCCAUAAAGCGAGGAAUCACUCAAAAGUGCUGAGGAAGGGAGUCCUUCACCUUAUCAGUCGAUCAUGAAGGAUUUGGGAAGUCUACAUCAAGGCCUUUGGUGGAGGAUUUAUUGGCAACAUUUGGCAAUCAUGACUAAAGCAAAUGCACCUGUAUGAUGUUCCAUGGAACUGAUGUUCUUUGCUACCGUACUAUUUCAGCUGCUUGCACCAUCCUGGAAACAGGUUUUCUCUAGAACUUUUAUCCUCAAUUGAUUUAUGUGUGAAUUGAUCAAUAUACUACAUAAACUGAGUAGUAGGUGUCUGUUGUCACUUAUUCAAUGUGUCAGUUCAGUUAGAACAUAGCGCUGGGAUUGGGAACCCUUGCUGAGCAGUUGAGAUUGUUAAAUUUGGAAAGAGUGUCUAGAUAUUAAUCACUGAUUCAUUUUAUAUGGGCUUAUAUAAGUUACCGAGUUGUUUUGUAUAUCAAAAUGAAUAUUAUAAUCCAAUUAAUUAUAUUCACCUUUGUAUUCUUAUAUAUUUCAUGUGUGGGAUUCUCAACAGAGAUAUUGCUAAAAAAUUACCGUGUAACAUGGUAGAACAUGUGUUAGUCCGCUUCCCACAAAUUUCUACUGCAACUUUGUAGUUAGGACAGCUAGUAAUUUGUUAAGGAAAGCCAUUAAUCAGCUAUGCCACUAGCGGAUUGGGACUAUUAAGAAUAGUUUAGAUUCUGGAUGUUGUCCUGCAAAUUUGCUGUUUUGCAUGAGGUGUUUGUUCACAAAAUCAUGUAGAUAUUGCAAUCAUAGACUAAGACUUCAGCGUUGCACUUAGUGGUGCCCUUAAUCAUAUACAAGAAAUAUACUUUCCCCUUCUCCUUUGGGGGGGGGGGGGGGCGAGGAGGAGGGAAGAAUAGAAAACCUUAAGAUUGUUAUCAAUUUAUGCAUACCAUCACCAACAGUAUGAGAAACCUUGUGGAUUUGAGGUAUGCUUCUCUUAUGAACUCCUAUGAUUUGAGGUGGCCCUUUGACAUACAGCCACUCAUAUUACUUAAAAUUGUCCAAUUCACGAUCAACUUAAUAGUUUGUCUAAAAUUUCUGGAUUUAUGGACAUCCUAAUUGAUUGGCGAAAUUCUCCCUUGCCUGUUUUAAGCCAACAGAAAUGGCAUGAAUAUGAUCUUUAAGCAGCAAAGGCAGCUAGAUAUUUAUUAUAGCACUUAUCUGGCUAAACGAGGGAAACCAAAUUUGGUUUUUGGUAAAUUAUGUAACCAACAAUUAAUGGUGAAUUCAAGGCACUUGGAAGUUGGAAGAGACAAAGAGCUUAAAUGUAGUGUAAAUAAAUUAGAAAAGUGAAUGUUGAGAAAAACCUUUGGAGGUUAAGGCCUGACUCGCCACCUGAUUUUGAUGUGUUAGCCAUUUAAGGAUUCAUAACACCUUUACCUGGUGUAAGUUGAAUUAAUCCUCUAAUGCGGGACAAACAUUGGAUGAACAACUUCCUGUGGCAAAAGAAGGGAGAAGAACAUCUUGUUGUAAGCAGAACUUGAAGAAUCUAUGUGGAGAGUUUGUUUUGAGAAUGUUACAAAUUUAAAUACAAUAAAGAGCACUAUGUAGUUGAAACUGCAAUGGAAGUCAAGGUUCAGUAGCAUGGGAUGGCAUUCAUAAGGGUAGCCUCUGUAAAAAGAAAGGGGAAUGUUGUGUACAAUAUAUGAAUCCCCCCCAAACCUCACAAAUAGAGGAGCCUCGUGCAUUGGGGCUCCCUCAAAAAAUUGAACCAUGUUCUAAUAAAAUUGGAAUUGCUAGAAGAUUCUUAUUUCAAGGUAAUAGAGCACUGCGGUGAAGUUAGAUUCUGUAGAGUAUCUCCUUGCCUUUUCUCAUUGCGGUGAAAAUUUCCAUAGAAAAUAUGGUAUUCUUUACCUUAAUUAUAUAAAGUUGGUAAUCUUAAGCUUAAUAUACAAAAAUCGAAUGUUAGAUUUGUACAUAAGUCUUAAUUCCUUUUGAAAAAAAAAUCCCCUCUGCUCUUUGUUUGUUUAUGAACCGAAGAGAAAGGAAGAGGAGAAAUGAAAUGAAAUUUUAGUCAUUUCUUUGCUUGGAUGCUACAGGAGGAAGGAAUAGUUGAGAGAGGAAACUUUUUUUUUCUUUCCCAAUUUCCUUUAGAAGUCACAAAACAUUUUUCUCAAAGUUUUUCCUCAAAGUUUGAGACUAACCAAGGGAAACGAAGAAUAUUGUCUUCCUUUUCUCAUGCAUGUAACUAAAGAUAGGAAAUUCAGCUUUCUUCAAUACUUUGUGAAACACUGAAACAACAUUAGAGAAAAUUAAUAUCAAUUAUAUUCUCUUCUUUUCCCUCCUUUUCCCUCGUUGAUUUUCUUCCUCUGCCUUUUUAUAGUUACCCAAAGUCCAAACCAAGCAUUAUGGUUUUAAAUUUCUCUUCUUGAAGUUUAUGGCAUUUGAAUUUAUGAAUUCCUCAAAUCUUAUCUUUGUGUUAUGCAGAUCUAGAUCAAGUUUACUAUGAGGUUAAAAAGAACUACAAAGAUGUGUAAAGGAACGGUCCUUUUCUAUUUCAAAAAAAGGUGCUAUGGCUGACAAGAUUAAUCUUGGCAUGCUCAGAUCUUUGGUAACAUUAACACACAAUCCGAAGUAAGUUUUGUUUCACAGAAUAAAUGACAUAAGAAGUUAAAGUAAAUAAUUAACACAAUCAAGUUCUUAAACGAUGAUGAAUACAAUAAUAGUUUUCCUUCUGUUUUUCCCAUCCUUUCAGCUUAGGAAAGAUAGUUUUUUUCCCUUGCUUUUUUUCUACCAAACCCACCAUCUGGAUUAUUCACUUAUAUAACUGCUGCGAAAUGGCAUAUUCCUGUGGCAACUUUUAGAAUUCCAUUCUCUGAGAUAUCUCACUGUGCCACCAAUUGUAGUAUGAUGUGGGACAACUAAACAAGCUAUUCAUAUGUAUUUUCAUAAUUCGUCUAAUUCUUUGGUUCAACAACAAGAUGGCUAGUCGGAUGAGUGGAUGAGUGAAUCUUAUAUUAAGUAGAUACAUCGUUCUUUGUAUUUAAAUGUUGGGGAAAGAAAAUUAGGUGUAUUUUAUUUUGGCUAAAAGUUUUAUUCUUUAGUGGUAAACUCUUGCUUCUAAAAACUUAUUUUGUUGAGUCUACAUGUGUAAAAUAUUAAUCUUGCAUGGGUUUUUCUUCCAGCUUGGCCAUUGAAGAGUUUUUUGUUCAUAUGUAUCAAUAGACAACAAAGCUAUAUCCUGGUGCUUAGAUUUUUUGUAGUUGCUUGUAUUUCUAUUAUUUUCUGGAGUCUGUCAUUUUGGUAUGUUUUUUUAUGUGACCACAUAACAAAUAAUGGCUUCUUCUGUUCUUUCUUUCCUCUCGUUUUCUUCCUCAGUACUCAAAUUAAUUGUUAGAAAAGAAUGGUGUCAGUUUCAGGGUCCAUUUAGUUUUAUCCUUUCACCUAAAUAGUGUGGAAGUUUCGUGGGGACUGCUGAAACAGUUGAAGAUUUCAUGAAAGAACCUUGUCAUCUUGUUUUUAUGUGGUCCAAUUUUACUAAAAGUUUCCACAUGGUCUAGAUAGACAUAUGAAAAUUGUUCCCCCCUUUUUUCUUUCGCUUUGUCUUUCCUCUUUCUUGCCUUCAUUUUUCACCAAGAACAUUGAUGUGACUUUGCAGUUUGCAAUAGUAACAAGUAAAUAUAAUGCAACCUUUGGAUGGUUUAUGUUCACAUUGUGUAUGAUGAACUUCUAGGAGCUUGGUUUAGAUGCCACAUUUGUUUUCCUAAACCAAAGUUUGUUAAUAGUUGCCAACAUAUUCUUUUACUCUUCGAAUGAUUUUUCAAGAAAAUAAUUCGAAUGAAUUCUUAUAAAAUCAUGUAUGAUUUUAUUUUCAUGCAUGUUGAAAAAAUUUUAAAUUAAAAAUAAUUUAAUUUUUUUUAUUCCAAAUAAGAGAAUGGUAAAAAAAGAAAUCAUUUGAAUUGAAUUUUUAUAAAAAUUUUCAUUUCAAACGAAGAGUUAAAGCAUUUAUCACACAUUUUACACUGUUAUUCUUUAUAGAUUAUGGAAUCUGCUUAAGACUCGGUGCAGGGAUGCAUCUGAAUGAACAGAGAACUCAUUAAAUUUCACACAGCUACCAUGACUUAAAGACUGAUACUUCGAACCAACUAUGUUUAUAAGAUGUAAAUCCGCAUUUAUAUUUGGGCAAACUUGUUUCGUGAAGAUUAGCAUACGAAAUCAAGUGGGUAUAUGCAAAGCCUGCAUAAUCCUUUUCAUUUGGGUGUUUAUUGUUCAUUUGUUUCAUUGUACAACAACUGUAUUAAAUGUGGACGAGGCUUGGAUCCUAUAGACGGUUAGAUUAUUCGUCGCUUUUC